GAUGAACGCUGGCGGCGUGCCUAAUACAUGCAAGUCGAGCGAACGGACGAGAAGCUUGCUUCUCUGAUGUUAGCGGCGGACGGGUGAGUAACACGUGGAUAACCUACCUAUAAGACUGGGAUAACUUCGGGAAACCGGAGCUAAUACCGGAUGAUAUUUUGAACCGCAUGGUUCAAAAGUGAAAGACGGUCUUGCUGUCACUUAUAGAUGGAUCCGCGCUGCAUUAGCUAGUUGGUAAGGUAAUGGCUUACCAAGGCAACGAUGCAUAGCCGACCUGAGAGGGUGAUCGGCCACACUGGAAGUGAGAAACGGUCCAGACUCCUACGCGAGGAAGCAGUAGGGAAUCUUCCGCAAUGGGCGAAAGCCUGACGUAGCAACGCCGCGUGAAUGAUGAAGGUCUUCGGAUCGUAAAACUCUGUUAUUAGGGAAGAACAUAUGUGUAAGUAACUGUGCACAUCUUGACGGUACCUACUCAGAAAGCCACGGCUAACUACGUG
This 497-nucleotide ribosomal RNA is filed under the name uncultured bacterium. Its description in RNAcentral is "partial 16S ribosomal RNA". It matches the Rfam family "Bacterial small subunit ribosomal RNA", at positions 28 to 507 of the family's 1533-position model. The record is from RNAcentral.